AUUGAACGCUGGCGGCAGGCUUAACACAUGCAAGUCGAACGAGUGGCGGACGGGUGAGUAAUGUCUGGGAAUCUGGCUUAUGGAGGGGGAUAACUACUGGAAACGGUAGCUAAUACCGCGUACCAUAGGAUGAGCCCAAGUGGGAUUAGGUAGUUGGUGGGGUAAAGGCUCACCAAGCCGACGAUCCCUAGCUGGUCUGAGAGGAUGACCAGCCACACGGGGACUGAGCCACGGCCCAGACUCCUACGGGAGGCAGCAGUGGGGAAUAUUGCACAAUGGGGGCAACCCUGACGCAGCCAUGCCGCGUGAAUGAAGAAGGCCUUCGGGUUGUAAAGUUCUUUCGGUGGCGAGGCGUUACCUACAGAAGAAGCACCGGCUAACUCCGUGCCAGCAGCCGCGGUAAUAC
This 406-nucleotide ribosomal RNA is filed under the name uncultured bacterium. Its description in RNAcentral is "partial 16S ribosomal RNA". It matches the Rfam family "Bacterial small subunit ribosomal RNA", at positions 30 to 526 of the family's 1533-position model. The record is from RNAcentral.